This 2981-nucleotide unclassified non-coding RNA is filed under the name Nilaparvata lugens (brown planthopper). RNAcentral describes it as "dystrophin, transcript variant X8". Lineage: Eukaryota; Metazoa; Arthropoda; Insecta; Hemiptera; Delphacidae. The record is from RNAcentral.
AAACUUUUCCAUCAGUUCCCGCAAACUCGCAUGUCGCAUUUCGCAUUGUUUGAAGUUGGAAGCUUAAGUAUUGUUAAUUUACUGAUUACUUUUGAAUUGAAGUUUCUUUAAAUAUCAAGAAGCUGUAGUUGUAAUGGAGGAAGAUAGCUCGAGAGCUCCUUGGGAAAAUGUAGAUAGUAGAUCUGAAGCAUCAUAUUAUGUUAGCAAAAGAGACAUGAUGCCAUCUUACAAUUCCAAGUUCUCCGUUAUUCAAGAUGCUCUAAACGAAUGCAACAGUAUCAAGUAUGCAGCUUACCGAACAGCAGCGAAAAUGUGUGUCCUGCAGCGAGCUCUGGGAAUGGAGCAUGUUCGUUUGAGUGUUAUCGCUGGAGUUUUCCAGAAACAUGGCUAUCAAGCGACAGAAAAUGCACUGCUCUUGGACUGCACGGAAUUGGAUGCUUUGCUGUCUGAUGUAUUUUUCGCCGCUUCCAAAGAAACCCGCCAAUCUCUGGACCUUGAAUACUUGACAGAAAUGACAGUACAUUUCUUGAUCAGCUCGUUUGACAAAGACCACAAAGGAUCAAUACAAGUUCUGUCUGCAAAAAUAGCUUUGGCGACAUUAUGCUCAUCCCGACUUCAAGAGAAGUACGAUUACUUCUUCACCCAACUCGCUGAUCACAACAACUGUCUCAACAAAAGGAAACUCAGUCUUCUCGUCGAAAAUUUUGUAUCAAUGACAGACUAUCUGUGUGAAUCUCUGUCAUUCUCCUCGAACCUCAUCUCAUCUACAAUCAGCUCUUGUUUUGAGCAGGAAUCCCAUGGACCCCUUGGCAUCAGUGAAGAAAUGUUUAUGAAAUGGGUGUUGAAAGAGCCUCAACUUUUGGUUUGGUUCUCCACUUUCUACAGGCUACGGGCUGCAGAAAAAGUUAGCCAUUCAGUGAGAUGCGCUGUUUGUAGAAUGUACCCAAUUCGAGGUCUGCGAUAUCGUUGUUUGCAUUGCAUAUCUUACGACCAGUGUCAGACAUGCUUUUUCCAUGGCUGUGUAAGCAAGCGGCACAAAUUGAAACAUCCAAUGCAGGAAUACUGCUGGCAGACCAAUUCCAAAGACGCUACGUUGUCUUUCUUGAAGGCGCUGAUGAAUCGGUUUUGUGGCAACUCCUCUCGUCUCCAAUACCUACCAGCUCAGCCAUCUGAUUCAGCAGCAUCUACUCCAACAUUAAAUAGCAGAACAGUGGUUGAUGCAGCAGAGGCAGAGGAGCAGAUGGAGGAGGCGGAGGUGGAUGAUGGGGGUGGGGGUGUGGUUGAGCCGCAGCAAGAGCUGCAGAGCAUCAUCAGCCAACUGGAGGCGGAGACCAAGCAGCUGGAUGUGGAGAUAGAGCGGCUGCGCGGCGCAGGGCGCGCUGAUGUUGGCCACAACCUACAUGAGCAUCGAAUGCUGCUAGGGGCGCAAAUACGCCGCUUGAAGAUAUUGAAGAGUCAUUUACAAUCGAUGGGCCCGAGAUACAUGCAAAGUACGCCGAAGCACAACGCCCACUUCGCGGUCUACCGGACACCAGGCUUCAGUCCGAUCGACAACCAGCCGGCAGACCUGGCCAGUCUGGUCGACAACUCGGGCCAAGGCUCGGUCACACUGGACGAGCCUAGCACGUGGAUCGGCGGUAAGCCCACUCGAGUCGAGCAGCAUCUCAACAACAUUUCCGACUGGCUGAAGGUGCGGACACACAACUACUUGCGGCCUGCCACUACGGACGAUGACCACCGGUCGCUGAUCGCUGCCACUGGAGAGCAGCUGGAGAUCAACGAGCUGCAUCACGGAUUGGACAAUAUUCUCGACAAACUGCAGAAGAUGCUCGCUUCCAACUUCUCUCUGGCGGAAAGUUCGAAUGGACAAGAAUGCCAGGAGCUGGCCGAUGUCAAGAUGAAAAGCUCUGCUGAUUUAAGGUGAUCAAUUGACUACGUUACUGACUUGAAAUUCACUUCUUUUGGUAAACAGGUGCUGAGACUGAAGUUUGGACGAGCCACCGAUUAUAAAUUGAUUUAAAGAAAAUGCCAAGAAGGAUCACGCUAACUGUAUCCGAGAAACCAACAGCUGAGCUGACUCACGACAGGACAACAUGACUUGUAGAGGCGAGCGAUGGGAAUUUAGCAUCGUUGGGAGCUGGGAGCAAGGAGCAAACACACAGGUCUCCUCCCCUGAUCCCCUGAUCCUCUGAUCCUCUGAUCCGGUCACCUGUGCGCGGAGAAAGUGGGAGAGAGAAUCCGCCACACAACAACAUGCUGGAGACUGGAGCCUAGUGCUGGAGUGGAGAUCUGGAGAAGACCGCAACCAGAAUCAGGCUUACGUCAUUCUCGCUGGAAUGCACGCAGCUCCAGAAUUCUACUCCUCCUCCUCCUCCUCCUCAUCACCAUCUACCAUGUUUCGACAGCCGCCAGCCCAGCAGCCAGCAGUCAACAGGCUGAAUGCUCAUGGUCAUGCCGCCGCCUAAUCUGGCUUUAGCGCGUGCACAGUGCAUAGUGCACAAUCAGGUGCAAAAUAUUUUAAAGGUGGAAAGCUAGGUUUCCAAUGUGAUUCUCGAAUAUGAAUCCGAUUGGAACCACGUUUGAAUGGAAUAUUGGUUCAAUAGAUGAAGAACAAUUUGAACCCCAAGUCUCAAUACAGCUACAUCCUGGUUAUGUUUGAAUACGGAAAGAAGUAUUUCCAAUCCAAUAUCCUCAAAUAUGAAUUCAUUUAGAACCUAGGUUUGGCUUCAAUUGCAUCUUCAAGGUUGAAUGCAAUAUUAAUAAAUAACUUCACAUACAGUUUUUGAUUCUCAAGAUUGAAUUUAGUUAAAUCUCCAAGAUCUCUGGAUUAAAGUUUCUGUAUUGCUCUUCUCAUUUGCUACGAUGACUUUAGAGUGAUAUUGAUCUAGUGAACAAAUUUUGUAUUGGCUCAGUUGCAUUAUCAUUGAAUAUUUUCCUGUGGAUUCUUCCAAUUGGAUGUAUAAAAAUGACAAUGAAUAAUA